AAUGAACGCUGGCGGCAGGCCUAAAACAUGCAAGUCGAACGAUGUAGCAAUACAGAGUGGCGCACGGGUGAGUAACAUGUGGGAAUAUGCCUUUUGGUACGGGACAACAGUUGGAAACGACUGCUAAUACCGUAUGUUCCCUUCGGGGUAAAGAUUUAUCGCCAAAAGAGUAGCCCGCACUAGAUUAGUUUGUUGGUAAGGUAAUGGCUUACCAAGACGACGAUUGGUAGCUGGUUUGAGAGGAUGAUCAGCCACACUGGAACUGAGACACGGACCAGACUCCUACGGGAGGCAGCAGUUAGGAAUAUUGGACAAUGGGCGCAAGCCUGAUCAAGCCAUGUCGCGUGAACGAUGAAGGCCUUCGGGUUGUAAGCUCUUUUACCUGUGAUGAUAAUGACAGUAGCAGGAGAAAAAGCUCCGGCUAACUUCGUGCCAGCAGCCGCGGUAAUACGAAGGGAGCGAGCGUUGUUCGGAAUUACUGGGCGUAAAGCGUGCGUAGGCGGUUUAGUAAGUUAGAAGUGAAAGCCCUGGGCUCAACCUAGGAAUUGCUUUUAAAACUACUAAACUAGAAUCUCGGAGGGGAUGGUGGAAUUUCCAGUGUAGAGGUGAAAUUCGUAGAUAUUGGAAGGAACACCAGUGGCGAAGGCGACCAUCUGGACGAGUAUUGACGCUGGGGGCACGAAAGCGUGGGGAGCAAACAGGAUUAGAUCCCCUGGUAGUCCACGCCGUAAACGAUGUAAACUAGCCGUUGGGACCUUAGGUUUCAGUGGCGCAGCUAACGCACUAAGUUUACCGCCUGGGGAGUACGGCCGCAAGGUUAAAACUCAAAGGAAUUGACGGGUACCCGCACAAGCGGUGGAGCAUGUGGUUUAAUUCGAUGCAACGCGCAGAACCUUACCAGCCCUUGACAUCCCGAUUGGGAGGAGCAGAGAUGCACGCUUUCGGUUCGGCCGGGGAGUGAAUAGGUGCUGCAUGGCUGUCGUCAGCUCGUGUCGUGGGAUGUUAGGUUAAUUUCCGCAACGAGCGCAACCCUUAUCGUAUGUUGCCAUCAGGUUAUGCUGGGAACUCAUGCGAGACUGCCGGUGACAAGCCGGAGGAAGGCGGGGACGACGUCAAGUCAUCAUGGCCCUUACGUGUGGGGCUACAAACGUGCUACAAUGGUAAGACAAUGGGCAGCCACUCCGCAAGGAGGCGCUAAUCUCCAAACGUUAUCUCAGUUCGGAUUGUUCUCUGCAACUCGAGAGCAUGAAGUUGGAAUCGCUAGUAAUCGUGCAUCAGCAUGUCACGGUGAAUACGUUCCCGGGUCUUGUACACACCGCCCGUCACGUCAUGGGAGUUGGUUUCACCCGAAGGCGGGGCGCUAACCGUAAGGAGGCAGGCGACCACGGUAGUGUCAGCGACUGGGGUG
RNAcentral lists this ribosomal RNA (1408 nucleotides) under uncultured prokaryote. RNAcentral's name for it is "partial 16S ribosomal RNA". It matches the Rfam family "Bacterial small subunit ribosomal RNA". The record is from RNAcentral.